GAUGAACGCUGGCGGCGUGCCUAAUACAUGCAAGUCGAGCGAACGGACGAGAAGCUUGCUUCUCUGAUGUUAGCGGCGGACGGGUGAGUAACACGUGGAUAACCUACCUAUAAUACUGGGAUAACUUCGGGAAACCGGAGCUAAUACCGGAUGAUAUUUUGAACCGCAUGGUUCAAAAGUGAAAGACGGUCUUGCUGUCACUUAUAGAUGGAUCCGCGCUGCAUUAGCUAGUUGGUAAGGUAACGGCUUACCAAGGCAACGAUGCAUAGCCGACCUGAGAGGGGGAUCGGCCACACUGGAACUGAGACACGGUCCAGACUCCUACGGGAGGCAGCAGUAGGGAAUCUUCCGCAAUGGGCGAAAGCCUGACGGAGCAACGCCGCGUGAGUGAUGAAGGUCUUCGGAUCGUAAAACUCUGUUAUUAGGGAAGAACAUAUGUGUAAGUAAAUGUGCACAUCUUGACGGUACCUAAUAAGAAAGCAACGGCUAACUACGUG
This 497-nucleotide ribosomal RNA is filed under the name uncultured bacterium. Its description in RNAcentral is "partial 16S ribosomal RNA". It matches the Rfam family "Bacterial small subunit ribosomal RNA", at positions 28 to 507 of the family's 1533-position model. The record is from RNAcentral.